Molecule: ribosomal RNA, 172 nt
Filed under: uncultured bacterium
Lineage: Bacteria
Description: partial 16S ribosomal RNA
Rfam family: Bacterial small subunit ribosomal RNA
Source: RNAcentral
CCUACGGGAGGCAGCAGUGGGGAAUAUUGGGCAAUGGGGGAAACCCUGACCCAGCAACGCCGCGUGAAGGACGAAGGCCUUCGGGUUGUAAACUUCUUUGACCGGGGACGAACACAAUGACGGUACCCGGGGAACAAGCCACGGCUAACUACGUGCCAGCAGCCGCGGUAAU